This 70-nucleotide transfer RNA is filed under the name Sphaerodactylus townsendi. Its description in RNAcentral is "tRNA-Ala". It matches the Rfam family "tRNA". From Rfam's summary of the family: Transfer RNA (tRNA) molecules are approximately 80 nucleotides in length. Their secondary structure includes four short double-helical elements and three loops (D, anti-codon, and T loops). Lineage: Eukaryota; Metazoa; Chordata; Lepidosauria; Squamata; Sphaerodactylidae. The record is from RNAcentral.
GGAUGUGGCUCAGGGGCAGAGCAUCUGUCUGGCUUGCAGACAGUUCCAGUUUCAGCCCCUGGCAUCUCCA